AUCAAGGCUCAGGAUGAGAGGAUGAAUCAUCUGCAUACUUUAUCCAAAGGGAACUGGGCUCUCUAAGCCCAAGGCUCUCAUGCGAUGUAAAUAGUGAAGCCGAAGUCUAGGAUGUCAGGGUGUUAGGGAGCUCGGCUGUGCUUGCAAAGCAGGAAUGCUGAGUCAGUUGACGGAGGCAGAUUUUGAUGAGUGUUGUGAAUUACUGGUUUGGCAUGGAACAUGAAAUGGCUUUGUACCAAAUCUUUGGCGAGGAGAAAAGGGCUGGCACGGGCAGAGACCCCCGCUGGCUUAGAAGAGGACAAAGCUGACUGGAUGGUGGUAUGGAGGCUGGCUGUAGAAGAAAGAGAACAGUGCUGGGAGUUCUGCAAGCUGAUUGGUUACUGGAUCUGCAACGUGCUCGUGUCUCUUCUGAUUUUCUUAUGGCGGCCGUCACCUCCACUAUGGAAAGAAAAAUGA
Molecule: long non-coding RNA, 456 nt
Filed under: Ursus americanus (American black bear)
Lineage: Eukaryota; Metazoa; Chordata; Mammalia; Carnivora; Ursidae
Description: lncRNA (ENSUAMG00000015636.1)
Source: RNAcentral